This 486-nucleotide ribosomal RNA is filed under the name uncultured bacterium. RNAcentral describes it as "partial 16S ribosomal RNA". It matches the Rfam family "Bacterial small subunit ribosomal RNA", at positions 29 to 507 of the family's 1533-position model. The record is from RNAcentral.
AUUGAACGCUGGCGGCAUGCUUUACACAUGCAAGUCGAGCGGCAGCGCGGGGGCAACCCUGGCGGCGAGCGGCGAACGGGUGAGUAAUGCAUCGGAACGUAUCCUCGAGUGGGGGAUAACCCAGCGAAAGUUGGGCUAAUACCGCAUGAGCUCUGAGGAGGAAAGCGGGGGACCUGCGAGGGCCUCGCGCUGGAGGAGCGGCCGAUGUCCGAUUAGCUAGUUGGUGGGGUAAAGGCUUACCAAGGCGACGUUCGGUAGCUGGUCUGAGAGGAUGAUCAGCCACACUGGGACUGAGACACGGCCCAGACUCCUACGGGAGGCAGCAGUGGGGAAUUUUGGACAAUGGGGGCAACCCUGAUCCAGCCAUGCCGCGUGAGUGAAGAAGGCCUUCGGGUUGUAAAGCUCUUUCGGACGGAACGAAACGGGCGGGACUAAUACUCCUGUCUGAUGACGGUACCGUAAGAAGAAGCACCGGCUAACUACGUG